AUCCAGCUGACGAGUCCCAAAUGGGACGAAACGCGCAUCCUGGAU
Molecule: non-coding RNA, 45 nt
Organism: Schistosoma rodhaini
Lineage: Eukaryota; Metazoa; Platyhelminthes; Trematoda; Strigeidida; Schistosomatidae
Source: Rfam